UCCGAGUUGACCCCGGCAGUCUCCUGCGAGUCCCCGCCAUUACGCGCUGGCAACACAGGACAAGGGUUGCGCUCGUUGCGGGACUUAACCCAACAUCUCACGACACGAGCUGACGACAGCCAUGCAGCAUCUGUGUGACAGCCUCGAAGGGGGCCCCAGUUUCUUGGGGCUUCCAGCCACAUGUCAAACCUAGGUGAGGUUCUUCGCUUUGUAACGAAUUAAACCACACGCUCCACUGCUUGUGCAGGUCCCCGUCAAUUCCUUUGAGUUUUAGCCUUGCGGCCGUAGUCCCCAGGCGGGAUGCUUAAUGCGUUAGCUUGGGACACUGGAGGGGUCAAUACCUCCAAUAUCUAGCAUCCAUCGUUUACGGCGUAGACUAC
RNAcentral lists this unclassified non-coding RNA (380 nucleotides) under uncultured bacterium. RNAcentral's name for it is "contains 16S-23S intergenic spacer region". The record is from RNAcentral.